CAAGUUUGACCUCAAAUCAGGUAGGAAUACCCGCUGAACUUAAGCAUAUCAAUAAGCGGAGGAAAAGAAACCAACAGGGAUUGCCUUAGUAGCGGCGAGUGAAGCGGCAAAAGCUCAAAUUUGAAAUCUGGCGCCUUCGGUGUCCGAGUUGUAAUUUGAAGAUUGUAACCUUGGGGUUGGCUCUUGUCUAUGUUUCUUGGAACAGGACGUCACAGAGGGUGAGAAUCCCGUGCGAUGAGAUGCCCAAUCCUAUGUAAGGUGCUUUCGAAGAGUCGAGUUGUUUGGGAAUGCAGCUCUAAGUGGGUGGUAAAUUCCA
This 316-nucleotide ribosomal RNA is filed under the name Meyerozyma carpophila. Its description in RNAcentral is "eukaryotic LSU rRNA". It matches the Rfam family "Eukaryotic large subunit ribosomal RNA", at positions 1 to 308 of the family's 3401-position model. The record is from RNAcentral. Lineage: Eukaryota; Fungi; Ascomycota; Pichiomycetes; Serinales; Debaryomycetaceae.